Molecule: ribosomal RNA, 253 nt
Filed under: uncultured prokaryote
Description: partial 16S ribosomal RNA
Rfam family: Bacterial small subunit ribosomal RNA
Source: RNAcentral
UACGGAGGGUGCAAGCGUUAAUCGGAAUUACUGGGCGUAAAGCGCGCGUAGGCGGCUGGAUAAGUCGAUUGUGAAAGCCCCGGGCUCAACCUGGGAAUUGCAGUCGAGACUGUUCGGCUAGAGUGUGGGAGAGGGUGGUGGAAUUCCUGGUGUAACGGUGAAAUGUGUUGAUAUCAGGAGGAAUACCGGCGGCGAAGGCGGCCCUCUGGAUCGUUGCUGACGCUGAGACGCGAAAGCGUGGGGAGCAAACAGG